UAGGUCUCGGGCCAUUGAAGAUCAGCAUUUUAAAGGGGAAUCCCCAGGCGAAGCGUAGGCCUUUUGCUCUGACGAGGUCCGCGACGGGUUUCCAUUCCCUCCUUCUCGCCAGGGUUGCUGGGGCGAUAUCUUGAUAGAUCUGGAGCUCCUUCCCUUUGUAGGUGUAUUGGUGGUUCCUGCUCCGUUUAAGUAUGGCUUCCUUUGUGGAGUAAAAGUGCCAUCUGAUGAUUAUAUCUCUGGGGGGACUAUUUUGUGGGCCCUUCGCAUGGAGUGCUCUGUGGAUCCUGUCAAUGUGCCACAAGUGGUCCGGGAUCUGUGGCAGACUGGCGCAGAAACAUUCCGCCAUUACUUGUUCUAAGUCGCCAUCUUGUACCUCUUCUGGUAAGCCGCGUACGCACAUAUUGUUGCGCCUUGUUCUGUUGGAGCUGUCCUCCAGCUCCAUUUCCAGUGCAGCUACCCUGGUCAGAAGUGCAUUGGUGGCCGUGGUGGUGGAAUUGUGAGCUGUCACUACCUCCUCCAAUCUGCUUUCCAGGGCCUCCGUACUGACUCCAAUGGCCUGGAUUUCGUCCUUCACCUCCCUGGCCGUGCGCUCUAUCUCCCCUGCCAGGUACCCCUUUACCUCCUCCAGCGACUGCAGUAUAGCACUGUGACGAAGUGCCCUUUGCCACUUGUGCCUGGAGAGGACUGCUUGCCCGCCUCUUGCCCUGUGACUAUGGCCCCUGGGAUGUAUUGCCCUUUAAAGACAUGAUUUGGGCAUAAUGGAUUUGUGUUGUGCUGCUGCUGGCCCUUUAAGAACCAUCUAGGGACAUACUGUGGAGUUACUGGGUGGCCACCAUUUCCUGUAUCAGAAGCACAUGGUGAGAACAAUGGAUGGCGGCCAUUUUAACUCACAGACACUGUUUGGACUUUUCAACACGGUGCCAUCUCGCCAGUAUUUGGUGCACAGAGACAUCGUGCAGUGGUUUUGGACUAUACAGCAGGGGACACAUUAUAAAGUGAUUGUUUUUCAUUUAGCCUGUAUAUGUUCUGCAUUAUCUGCAUUAAACUGUAUUUUCCAAAGUACUGAACGGAUCUGGGUGAAUUUUGGAUAUGUGGUUCACCCAGAUCCCCCGGUUUAUGGGGUUAUUGCAUGUUUUGGGGUCCCUGUGUGUUUUAUAAAAUUGUAAUGUUUCUGGCCAGCAGAUAAUUGAGCUUUGUGUAUUGUAGAAACUCAAUUAUCUAGCCUGGCCCAGAGGAGGAGUUUUGUGUUGCAUAAAUUGUGAGUUCUGUGUGCCAGUAAAUCACUCUUGUUCCAGCAUUAAGCCUUGGCUCAUGUUUGGGGGAAGGGAUACCUACACUCUGGGUAUUGCUAUAAUCACUUACUCCCCAGAGGAAGCUCUUGCAAUAGCUUGAUUUGUUCCUGUUCCUGCUCUCUGGGGAAAGAGAGGUUCACCCACUGGAAGCUGGAUCCUGGCCUUGGGUCCAGGGUGGGUGGAAACAGCAGAGACCCCGGCGCAGUUGCAUCGCUGGAAGUGGGGUCUGCAGUGCUGAUGGUGUCGGUUGGAGUGCUUGGAGUCCUCAGCGAGCACUAGGAGCAUCGAUUGGCGGAGAUACUCAGUCGGAGUGCCAGCGUUCCGUCACAAGCACAGUGGGGGUCCUCUGCUUGGCCAUAGAGAGACGUUGGUGUAGCAGGGGGGCUCAAAGAGGACGCGCCCGUCGGGCUUUCGGCGCCUUGCAUCCCACGUGGCGCUGCCUUAAUGGCGGCCAGCAUGUCCGCAACGGAGGGAUUAUCCCCUCUCUGUUUUUUCGCCGCCGCCUUCCGGUGUGACAUGGUGUUGGGGUCGGCUGCCACGGAUCACUGACUGUGCUGUAGGGGGACUGUGUCGUCGGUAAGCUGUUUGCCGGGCUUUUUGCUGAGCCUGCGGUGCGGAGCUCCGGAGUUAGGCUGCCAUCACUCUCGGAGUCCAAGCCACGCCCCCCGCUGUAUUGGAAUCUUUGUAACAUCUCAGUGAUAGACAUCUCACUGACAUCAGCUGCUGUUGUGCUAAAA
Molecule: long non-coding RNA, 2029 nt
Filed under: Pelobates cultripes (western spadefoot toad)
Lineage: Eukaryota; Metazoa; Chordata; Amphibia; Anura; Pelobatidae
Source: RNAcentral